GGUGAGGUGUCCGAGUGGUUUAAGGAGCACGCCUGGAAAGCGUGUAAGUCGAAAGGCUUCGUGGGUUCGAAUCCCACUCUCACCGCCA
RNAcentral lists this transfer RNA (88 nucleotides) under Gammaproteobacteria bacterium. RNAcentral's name for it is "tRNA-Ser". It matches the Rfam family "tRNA". Rfam says of the family: Transfer RNA (tRNA) molecules are approximately 80 nucleotides in length. Their secondary structure includes four short double-helical elements and three loops (D, anti-codon, and T loops). The record is from RNAcentral. Lineage: Bacteria; Pseudomonadati; Pseudomonadota; Gammaproteobacteria.